CGGUAAAAUGGCUGAUUAAGGCGGUAAAUUGUAAAUUUAUUAAUGAGUUGUUUUCUUUUACUGA
Molecule: transfer RNA, 64 nt
Filed under: Ornithodoros savignyi
Lineage: Eukaryota; Metazoa; Arthropoda; Arachnida; Ixodida; Argasidae
Description: tRNA-Tyr
Rfam family: tRNA
About the family: Transfer RNA (tRNA) molecules are approximately 80 nucleotides in length. Their secondary structure includes four short double-helical elements and three loops (D, anti-codon, and T loops).
Source: RNAcentral